This 704-nucleotide ribosomal RNA is filed under the name Pantoea ananatis. Its description in RNAcentral is "bacterial SSU rRNA". It matches the Rfam family "Bacterial small subunit ribosomal RNA", at positions 56 to 749 of the family's 1533-position model. Lineage: Bacteria; Pseudomonadati; Pseudomonadota; Gammaproteobacteria; Enterobacterales; Erwiniaceae. The record is from RNAcentral.
UGCAAGUCGUACGGGGUCACCCAGGAGCUUGCUCCUCGGGUGACGAGUGGCGGAGGGGUGAGUAAUGUCUGGGGAUCUGCCCGAUAGAGGGGGAUAACCACUGGAAACGGUGGCUAAUACCGCAUAACGUCGCAAGACCAAAGAGGGGGACCUUCGGGCCUCUCACUAUCGGAUGAACCCAGAUGGGAUUAGCUAGUAGGCGGGGUAACGGCCCACCUAGGCGACGAUCCCUAGCUGGUCUGAGAGGAUGACCAGCCACACUGGAACUGACACACGGUCCACACUCCUACGGGAGGCAGCAGUGGGGAAUAUUGCACAAUGGGCGCAAGCCUGAUGCACCCAUGCCGCGUGUAUGAAGAAGGCCUUCGGGUUGUAAAGUACUUUCAGCGGGGAGGAAGGCGAUGUGGUUAAUAACCGUGUCGAUUGACGUUACCCGCAAAAGAAGCACCGGCUAACUCCGUGCCAGCAGCCGCGGUAAUACGGAGGGUGCAAGCGUUAAUCGGAAUUACUGGGCGUAAAGCGCACGCAGGCGGUCUGUUAAGUCAGAUGUGAAAUCCCCGGGCUUAACCUGGGAACUGCAUUUGAAACUGGCAGGCUUGAGUCUCGUAGAGGGGGGUAGAAUUCCAGGUGUAGCGGUGAAAUGCGUAGAGAUCUGGAAGAAUACCGGUGGCGAAGGCGGCCCCCUGGACGAAGACUGACGCUCA